RNAcentral lists this ribosomal RNA (634 nucleotides) under uncultured fungus. RNAcentral describes it as "eukaryotic LSU rRNA". It matches the Rfam family "Eukaryotic large subunit ribosomal RNA", at positions 40 to 647 of the family's 3401-position model. Lineage: Eukaryota; Fungi. The record is from RNAcentral.
AUAUCAAUAAGCGGAGGAAAAGAAACUAACAAGGAUUCCCCUAGUAACUGCGAGUGAAGCGGGAAGAGCUCAAAUUUGAAAUCUGGCGGUCCCCGUGGCCGUCCGAGUUGUAACCUAGAGAAGUGCUAUCCGCGCUGGACCGUGUACAAGUCUCCUGGAACGGAGCGUCACAGAGGGUGAGAAUCCCGUCUUUGACACGGACUACCAGGGCUUUUGUGAUGCGCUCUCGAAGAGUCGAGUUGUUUGGGAAUGCAGCUCAAAAUGGGUGGUAAAUUCCAUCUAAAGCUAAAUAUUGGCGAGAGACCGAUAGCGAACAAGUACCGUGAGGGAAAGAUGAAAAGAACUUUGGAAAGAGAGUUAAACAGUACGUGAAAUUGUUGAAAGGGAAACGCUUGAAGUCAGUCGCGUCGGCCAGGGAUCAACCUUGCAUUUAUUUGCUGGGAGUACUUCCUGGUCGACGGGUCAGCAUCAAUUUUGACCGUCGGAUAAAGGCCUAGGGAAUGUGGCAUCCUCGGAUGUGUUAUAGCCCUUGGUCGCAUGCGACGGUCGGGAUUGAGGAACUCAGCACGCCGCAAGGCCGGGGUAUUCGUACCCACGUUCGUGCUUAGGAUGCUGGCAUAAUGGCUUUAAUCGA